GCAUCCCUACUCCACUCCAAGUGAAAACAGCUGAACAUGGUUCCUUUUUUUAAUUUUAAGCAGUGGAGCUCCAAAGAAGAAAGAAGGAACAGUUCAUCCAAACAGAGAAGAAAAUCUAGAAACAACGCUAUCACCAAAGGCUGGAUCUAAGGCGAUACUCUAGUGUUAUUUCUCUGCUGCAGCGUUGAGCUCCUCCUCUUCUUCUCCUCAUGUAUGAUCUCCGAAUUGAUCCCACAUUCGAGCGAAGUUCUACUCCGUCAUCCCAUUCAGUAUGCAAGCUCCCCUCUUUUCUUCCAUCUCCUUUCUUGGUCUUCUACCUCUUUCUUUGCCCCGUUCCCUAAAAAUCAAGAACCCUAAACCUAAAAAUUCAGAAAUUCAUGGACGAGGACAGGGAAAGGAAUACGAGUAGGGAGAUCUUACAUGCGAGCAAACCACCAGACGUGGAGAGGGACGCCGAAGAAGUCAUUGCCGUCACCGAGCUCGCGCCGUACCUUUACACUGCCCAAUUUGCCCCCUGGUCGCCACCGCAUCAAGAGAGAAAGGGGGAGCACUCGACGUACGAGAGAGGGGAGUAUACCUUGCCUCCGGGUCAUCCUUCCGGCACCGGCGCCAUUGUCUUCGUUGCCGCGACCUCCGCAAUCGUCAGAGAGGAAGGAUGUCGAGCACAGCCGCCGCUGGUAGUUCAUCCUCAAAGGUGAACCGCUCGCAGCUAAUUAGAAAAGAUAUUUUUUUGGGAGGGAUUAUAUUACAGAAAAUAUUGAUACGGG
This 767-nucleotide long non-coding RNA is filed under the name Triticum aestivum (bread wheat). RNAcentral's name for it is "long non-coding RNA (TAES_LNC020627)". The record is from RNAcentral. Lineage: Eukaryota; Viridiplantae; Streptophyta; Magnoliopsida; Poales; Poaceae.